RNAcentral lists this ribosomal RNA (497 nucleotides) under uncultured bacterium. RNAcentral describes it as "partial 16S ribosomal RNA". It matches the Rfam family "Bacterial small subunit ribosomal RNA", at positions 28 to 507 of the family's 1533-position model. The record is from RNAcentral.
GAUGAACGCUGGCGGCGUGCCUAAUACAUGCAGGUCGAGCGAACAGACGAGGAGCUUGCUCCUCUGACGUUAGCGGCGGACGGGUGAGUAACACGUGGAUAACCUACCUAUAAGACUGGGAUAACUUCGGGAAACCGGAGCUAAUACCGGAUAAUAUAUUGAACCGCAUGGUUCAAUAGUGAAAGACGGUUUUGCUGUCACUUAUAGAUGGAUCCGCGCCGCAUUAGCUAGUUGGUAAGGUAACGGCUUACCAAGGCAACGAUGCGUAGCCGACCUGAGAGGGUGAUCGGCCACACUGGAACUGAGACACGGUCCAGACGCCUACGGGAGGCAGCAGUAGGGAAUCUUCCGCAAUGGGCGAAAGCCUGACGGAGCAACGCCGCGUGAGUGAUGAAGGUCUUCGGAUCGUAAAACUCUGUUAUUAGGGAAGAACAAAUGUGUAAGUAACUAUGCACGUCUUGACGGUACCUAAUCAGAAAGCCACGGCUAACUACGUG